UUUUUAUUGUUGCAAACCCUAGCAGUAGAGUGAAACACUCUGCCGCCUCUGUCCACUCACUCCUUCUCCUCCGUUUUCUCAACCCGUUCUCCGCCGUCCUAUUCCUCCACCGCCGUCGAACUCAAAGUACCUACCACCCAUUUCCUUCAUUUUCUUUGUGUUCGAUUUCUUUAUUGGGUUUGUUUGUUUUAAAUUUCACAUCUCUUAACAUUUUUUUUUCUAUCAUUGUGAAGUUGAAGGCGUAGACAAAAGUUAGUUUUUAUUUGUUUGUUGUGUUUUUUUUGUUAAGGUUUACAAGUCUUCUGUGGAUUUGGCUAACAUUUUGAUCGAUCGAUUUUAUUCUUCAGAUCUACAUGGUAAAUAAAUAAUCUUCAGAUCGAUUUUAUUGGGUUUGUUUGUUUUAAAUUUUCACAUCUCUUAACAAUUUUUUUUCUAUCAUUGUGAAGUUGAAGGCGUAGACAAAAGUUAGUUUUUAUUUGUUUGUUGUGUUUUUUUUUUGUUAAGGUUUACAAGUCUUCUAUUGAUUUGGCUAACAUUUUGAUCGAUCGGUUUUAUUCUUCAGAUCUACAUGGUAAAUAAAUAAUAUUUAGAUCCACAUAUUUCUCUUCAGAUCUACAUGAUAUAUCAUAAUGUCUCGAUCUUAAAAUAUGUCCCUCCUAUUGAUUUUUGGUUUUUGUUAUUUAUUGAUCCAAGUUUAUUUUUUGUUAGGUUUGGUGAAAAUUAUAAUUUCUUUUGUGCUUGUGAAGGUAUGUUUUGUUCUGUUGUUAGCUAAGAGAAUUGAUCCACAUAUUUAUCUUCAGAUCCAAAUGAUAUAUCAUAAUAUCUCGAUCUUAUAAUAUGUCCCUCCUAUUGAUUUUUGGUUUUUGUUAUUUAUUGAUCCAAGUUUCACUUUUGUUAGGUUUGGUGAAAAUUAUAAUUUCUUUUGUGCUUGUGAAGGUAUGUUUGGUUCCGUUGUUAGUUAAGAGAACUGGAAAAAUAAAGAAAAAGUUGGCAAAAGAGCUAAGAAGUUUUAAUUGAAAGGUAAUAUAAAAUUUGUUAGUAAAAAUGUAAUAUUUUUAGUGUUGACA
This 1067-nucleotide long non-coding RNA is filed under the name Trifolium pratense (red clover). RNAcentral describes it as "long non-coding RNA (TPRA_LNC000987)". The record is from RNAcentral. Lineage: Eukaryota; Viridiplantae; Streptophyta; Magnoliopsida; Fabales; Fabaceae.